UACGUAGGGUGCAAGCGUUGUCCGGAAUUAUUGGGCGUAAAGAGCUCGUAGGCGGUUUGUCGCGUCUGCUGUGAAAACUGGAGGCUCAACCUCCAGCCUGCAGUGGGUACGGGCAGACUAGAGUGCGGUAGGGGAGAUUGGAAUUCCUGGUGUAGCGGUGGAAUGCGCAGAUAUCAGGAGGAACACCGAUGGCGAAGGCAGAUCUCUGGGCCGUUACUGACGCUGAGGAGCGAAAGCGUGGGGGAGCGAACAGG
Molecule: ribosomal RNA, 254 nt
Filed under: uncultured bacterium
Lineage: Bacteria
Description: partial 16S ribosomal RNA
Rfam family: Bacterial small subunit ribosomal RNA
Source: RNAcentral